ACCUACCGGGGGCAGCAGUGGGGAAUAUUGCACAAUGGGGGAAACCCUGAUGCAGCGACGCCGCGUGAGCGAAGAAGUAUUUCGGUAUGUAAAGCUCUAUCAGCAGGGAAGAAAAAUGACGGUACCUGAGUAAGAAGCACCGGCUGAAUACGUGCCAGCAGCCGCGGUAAUACGUAGGGGGCGAGCGUUAUCCGGAUUUACUGGGUGUAAAGGGAGCGUAGACGGUUCUGCAAGUCUGAAGUGAAAGCCCGUGGCUUAACCGCGGAACGGCUUUGGAAACGGUGG
RNAcentral lists this ribosomal RNA (285 nucleotides) under uncultured bacterium. RNAcentral describes it as "partial 16S ribosomal RNA". It matches the Rfam family "Bacterial small subunit ribosomal RNA", at positions 337 to 638 of the family's 1533-position model. The record is from RNAcentral.